AUUGAACGCUGGCGGCAUGCCUUACACAUGCAAGUCGAACGGUAACAGGUCUUCGGAUGCUGACGAGUGGCGAACGGGUGAGUAAUACAUCGGAACGUGCCUAGUAGUGGGGGAUAACUACUCGAAAGAGUGGCUAAUACCGCAUGAGAUCUACGGAUGAAAGCAGGGGAUCGCAAGACCUUGUGCUACUAGAGCGGCCGAUGGCAGAUUAGGUAGUUGGUGGGGUAAAAGCUUACCAAGCCGACGAUCUGCAGCUGGUCAGAGAGGACGAUCAGCCACACUGGGACUGAGACACGGCCCAGACUCCUACGGGAGGCAGCAGUGGGGAAUUUUGGACAAUGGGCGAAAGCCUGAUCCAGCAAUGCCGCGUGCAGGAUGAAGGCCUUCGGGUUGUAAACUGCUUUUGCACGGAACGAAAAGCCCCGGGUUAAUACCCUGGGGUCAUGACGGUACCGUAAGAAUAAGCACCGGCUAACUACGUGCCAGCCGCCGCAGUAA
Molecule: ribosomal RNA, 498 nt
Filed under: uncultured bacterium
Lineage: Bacteria
Description: partial 16S ribosomal RNA
Rfam family: Bacterial small subunit ribosomal RNA
Source: RNAcentral